RNAcentral lists this ribosomal RNA (400 nucleotides) under uncultured bacterium. RNAcentral's name for it is "bacterial SSU rRNA". It matches the Rfam family "Bacterial small subunit ribosomal RNA", at positions 29 to 408 of the family's 1533-position model. The record is from RNAcentral.
AACGAACGUUGGCGGCGUGGAUUAGGCAUGCAAGUCGAACGAGAAAGCCACCUUCGGGUGGUUAGUAAAGUGGCGAACGGGUGAGUAACGCGUGGGAAAUCUGCCCUACAGUUGGGGAUAACACUCCUAACGGAGUGCUAAUACCGAAUGAGACCACGAGAUCGCAUGGUCUUGAGGUUGAAGGUGGCCUCUCCUUGGAAGCUACCGCUGCAGGAGGAUCCCGCGUCCCAUUAGCUUGUUGGCAGGGUAACGGCCUACCAAGGCUUCGAUGGGUAGCUGGUCUGAGAGGAUGGUCCAGCCACACUGGGACUGAGAUACGGCCCAGACUCCUACGGGAGGCAGCAGUCGAGAGGCUUCGGCAAAUGGGCGAAAGCCUGACAGAGCGACGCCGCGUGGAGGA